CUCGAAAGAAUACGGAACAGUCUGCAAUCGCGGUACUUCGAUACCCGCGCAGCGCUACAGGCCAAACACACGUGUGUUGUUCUGUCAUGAUUGUCCGAUGAAUUUGAGCCUGGGCUUCGAAAGACCACAAGACGUCGGUUCGACACUGUUCACCUUCUGCUACUGUGUGCACCCAGAUAGUACAAGAAGUAUCUCUUGGAGAAAAAAGACAUUCCACGAACUACACAGCAUCGCUGGAGAAGGUUAUAAUGUUCAGUUUUAUCAAGAUUAUACCCAGUGCGGAUAGCAGAGGGACUCGAUGGGUCUGUGGCAGCAAGACUCAGCUUUGUUUGACAUGCGUAUCAAGCAUGUGAGCGAUACUGUGCAGCAGAACCAGCCUUCAGAAGACCAGAAUCCAGUUGUGAUCAUCAGCCCUGUAGAGACAUCCAG
Molecule: long non-coding RNA, 429 nt
Organism: Pangasianodon hypophthalmus (striped catfish)
Lineage: Eukaryota; Metazoa; Chordata; Actinopteri; Siluriformes; Pangasiidae
Exons: 3
Source: RefSeq, a predicted model, not a curated record